This 780-nucleotide ribosomal RNA is filed under the name uncultured Neocallimastigales. Its description in RNAcentral is "partial large subunit ribosomal RNA". It matches the Rfam family "Eukaryotic large subunit ribosomal RNA", at positions 24 to 644 of the family's 3401-position model. The record is from RNAcentral. Lineage: Eukaryota; Fungi; Neocallimastigomycota; Neocallimastigomycetes; Neocallimastigales.
UACGACUACAUAUCAGGCAUAUCAAUAAGCGGAGGAAAAGAAACUAACAUAGGAUUCCCUCUAGUAGCGGCGAGUGAAGCGGGAAGAGCUCAAAUUUGAAAUCUUCAAGGUUUUACCUUGACGAAUUGUAGUUUAAAGAAGUGUUUUCGGUUAGAGGAGUUUAGGUAAAAGUUCUUUGGAAUAGGACAUCAUAGAGGGUGAGAAUCCCGUAUUUGACCUAUUAUUUCCUAGCUUUGUGAUACACUUUCAAAGAGUCGGAUUGUUUGGGAAUGCAGUCCAAAAUGGGUGGUAAAUUUCAUCUAAAGCUAAAUAUUGGCGAGAGACCGAUAGCGAACAAGUACCGUGAGGAAAGAUGAAAAGAACUUUGAAAAGAGAGUUAAACAGUACGUGAAAUUGUCAAAAGGGAAGCGUUUGACACCAGUGUUGUUUCUGACGAAAAUCAAUUUAUGAUGGCUUGAUGCUAAGCUUUAAGACUUUAUCCGCUUGUUGUUUAGUUUUCUUGUCUUUGUGAAUGCACUUUUCGUUGAACAAGUCAACAUCAAUUUCUUUUGCUGUAAAAGGGUAAGAGGAAGGUGGCUUCGGCUUCGGUUGAAGUGUUUAUAGCCUUUUAUCUCUGCAGUCGGAGAGAUUGAGGUCUGCAGCGUAGACUCUUCGGGGUUAGAUACGUCGGUGCUAAGCUAUAGCUUUUCAUAGACAACUUGUUGACUAUGUUUAGUCAUGUGGCUUACCCGCUGGCGCUAUUUUACCUACGCUUAGGAUGUUGACUGAUAUGUAGUCGUA